This is a long non-coding RNA of Hirundo rustica (Barn swallow), 1628 nucleotides long. RefSeq lists it as uncharacterized. NCBI's taxonomy places the organism in Eukaryota, Metazoa, Chordata, Aves, Passeriformes, Hirundinidae. The record is from RefSeq and is a predicted model, not a curated record. The transcript is spliced from 3 exons.
CUGGCACUUGGGCUGGUUUGUCCCUGCCAGGCUUUGUUUCUGGGCUCUGCAGGAUUAUAUGGAAGUAGAACAAGUGCUGCAUGUACCUGAGACAGCCCUUACACGUGAAGUCUGGCGCGGGAGAGAGCAACGUUCUGCUUGGCAAAGCAAAUGAAAAAACGGUGGGGAGAAUGUAGAGGGCAGGACAACCGCUUUCCUGUCCAGAAUCUUCAAAGUACCUGGCUGCAAGAGGAGCAGGGUCAGGGGCGUAUCAGUGCCACCUGCCCACCAGCAAGUGGACAGCCUUGACUUUCUCCUCCAUCAUCCCAGCUCUGUGGACCCCAAACAAGUUUCCUGUUCACAGCAUUCCUGGCAUCAUCUCAGGAAGAAUGUAGGAUUGAAAAUUCGGGCAGAUCAGUGAUGAAGGUGCUGUAGCUCCUGUUCCCUUCAGAUGUGAAGGAUUAUCAGAUUGCAUGUCCAGCGAUUCUGCCCUGCACUACAAAUGUUCAUGCACAAAAUCUUAACGUAUUUCUGAUUAGGAAAGUUACAUAUCACUGUUAUCUAAUCCUUCAAAUGAAAUAGCUUCAGCUAAAAUGUGUUCCUUAACGCCAGGCAACAGGAUGGUCUGAGCAUAAAUGAAAUUAGAAAGUCUCCUACUGCAUCAGUGCAAAAGUGCCUACUAUGCAUCAUGGAUCGAGUGCUCUGAAAUAUCAUCCCAAGAAUGAAUGAGCUGAAGUCACUGAGCCAAAUUCAUUCUGGGGACAGAGUCACAUUAGGCUAUUCUCAUUCCGAAUGUAGCUGUGAAUUUGGCCUGAACCAAAAUCCCUAUAAAUCAGAAGGAACAGAAAGGACAGAUGCUGUGUCUUGAAAGAUCCACUCCUCUGGAAAGUGCAGCUCCCUCUCUUGCCUCUUCAUCCCAAGGAAGCAGAUGGUUUCUCACUCACCCAGCUAUGAUGAAAGCACAACGUGUAAAAAUAAAAGCAGAGGGCUGGAUUCCUUCCUUGGCUGAGCUGCAUGUGGUGCCACGAACCCUGGUGGGAGCGCAGAAAAUGGAGAUGAGUGUGAAGCACAACCCAGAGAUCUACCAGAGAAUUUGUAUAACUUUUACUCCUGGAAGAGUGAGGGAGUGUGCAUGUGCUCAAAAAGAGAGCUGAAUGCACCCCACUUUUACCUCUUCUGGCCCUGGGAGAUUGCUGGCCAUGAUGAACAAUCUCCAGGAAGCUGUUCAUCUCCAAGUGCUGCUCUUACUCCUCCUCAUGAGUGAGCAGGAAGCUUGCUAGCUCAGAUUUUAAUUAUCAAGGGAUUUAAUUAACUUUUUUUGGCUCUUUGAUUUAAUAUUCCGGUAUCUGUGUACAUCCAGUUUGUAAAACAAUAGGGGGGAAAAGUCUGCUUAGUCAAAAACCAAGCAGCAAAGAAGAUCUUUUUCCUCAUGUCCUUCGUUUCUGAAAAGAAAUAUGAAAAGCAUGUGGAAACUGAUAGUUCAAUGCCAACCACUGCUGAAUUGACCCAUUUAAUCUUUGUAGAAUUUGGAAACAGUGAUCUAUGAAAGCUUUCCCAAAUGCUUUUUGUGAGGAAAUAAUUUUCUAUUUAAUUUAGGCUCUUUUUUUUUUUUUUUUUUUGCUACACUUCAGUGAGAGGGGAAGUAAACA